This 459-nucleotide ribosomal RNA is filed under the name uncultured bacterium. RNAcentral describes it as "partial 16S ribosomal RNA". It matches the Rfam family "Bacterial small subunit ribosomal RNA", at positions 338 to 795 of the family's 1533-position model. The record is from RNAcentral.
CCUACGGGAGGCAGCAGUGAGGAAUAUUGGUCAAUGGGCGGAAGCCUGAACCAGCCAAGUAGCGUGAAGGAUGACGGCCCUAUGGGUUGUAAACUGCUUUUAUACGGGAAUAACGGGCCAUACGUGUGGGGCUUUGUAUGUCCCGUAUGAAUAAGAACCGGCUAAUUCCGUGCCAGCAGCCGCGUUAAUCCGGAGGGUGCGGCGGUUAUCGGGUUUUAUUGGGUUUAAAGGGACCGUAGGCGGAUGAUCAAGGGAGUGGUAAAAUGUUGGGGAUAACCCCCGCCUUGCAGUGGAAACUGGCGUGCUUGAGUAGGCGAAAAGUAGGCGGAAUGCGUGGUGUAGCGGUGAAAUGCUUAGAUAUCACGAAGAACUCCGAUUGCGAAGGCAGCUUGCUGGAGCGAAACUGACGCUGAGGCUCGAAAGCGCGGGUAUCGAACAGGAUUAGAUACCCCAGUAGUC